Molecule: long non-coding RNA, 1801 nt
Organism: Drosophila simulans
Lineage: Eukaryota; Metazoa; Arthropoda; Insecta; Diptera; Drosophilidae
Exons: 3
Source: RefSeq, a predicted model, not a curated record
GGAUGCAGUGGCCCGCCCCCUGGCAGCCCCCUUUCCCGCCCGGGGCUUCCACCAGGCUGUCUAUGAGUCGCGUCGCAGUCGACGGCAGUUUCCGCCGUCAAUUUAUAAACGCGUUCAGCUUAAAUUGCAACAAAUAGUCGCCUAUUGAAACUUAAAUUGUACCGACACAGAAAGUGAGCGCACCAUUUGCGCGAGCGAGAGGGGCGCUCUUGGCCAGAAAGAGACUGGAUGACAUGGCCAUGCUUUGGCUUUGGCUUUAGCUUUGCGUUUGGGCCGUGUCAACAAGUUUGGCCCUCUCCCUGUCUCGCUCUUGGCCAUUUUUGUACUUUCGGCUCUGUUGUUUUGUGUCAGUUGUUGACGUCGUUUGGCGGCUGUGUGGUCGUGGCUUGAUUUGUUUAAAGGUUUCUGGUUCUGGGCAUCGCUUGGCUCAAUCGGCCGGUGGUCAUGGGAACGGGGAGUUUGCCAAUGUUUCGAUGUGUUUUCCGGAUAAGGUUGGCUAGAAUCACAAUAGCAGUUGCGCGUUAUAUGUACGUACAUGUAGGCUGUUAUUUUUGAUGUCUAAUCAAACGUAUUAUAUAAGACGAGAACUUAUCAGGGUAUCUCAAUUGGAACUCCAGGCACUGCCAAUUAACUCUGGCUGCCAUUUCCUUGGCUAUUUCUUCCAAUCUCCCAAUCAAAAGCCCGCAUGUUCUGGCCGUAAUCCAGCCGAAAUCAAAGCAAGCCAAACUCGUUUAUGGCCAACUUUGGACGGCGGAAUCCAGGUAAGCCUCAGCGGCUUUUGCUGACAGGAGGAGAGGUUGGCAGAGGCGGUAGAGGCGGUAGAGGCGGCAGAGGCCGUAGAAAGCCGCAACAGGCAGAGCAAAUUUCGCCGACAGCCGGCCGCUGCAAUAUAAUUUCUUUCGAUUAAUCCAAUCGAUUUCUAUUCAAUAAAUCAAAAUAUGAAUUCGUUACGGCUCCGACCCCUCGACUAGCCUAGACACUCCGCAGAUGUGUGUAGUAUGUGCGAGCGAGUGUUCGUUUGAGGCACGUAACAAAUCGUUGGGUUAAUUAAAAAAACAUAAAUCGUUUUAUUCUUUAUCCACACUCACUGCGCCCCUCGGCGGCUAAAUAACCGUGGCAGGUAUUUGACGGCCCUUUCAUCAACUGAAAUCAGUCAAAGUUCCCCGCGCUAAAGAAAUGUUGGGAAAUAAAUCACGCUCUUUUCGCCAGAAAUAAUUUCACUUUAGACACUUUUUCCCACUGCCUUACUGCCCAUAAUUUUUAAUUUUAGCAGCCCUCUGUUUUGAUAAUGCAAACUAAAUCGCUUAGCCAAGCAAAUUGUUGGCCAUUAAGGUGUUUUGAUGACUUUUAGCCCCUGGAAACUUGAUCUGCCCAUCAGACACUUAAAUUUUGUUUGCCAGCCUCCGCUGAACCAAUCAAAACGAAUUAACAAACUUUAGUUGUAAAUAUUCAUGACAAAGUUCCAGAUACAAUGCCAAUCGGCUGGAGGGUCCGUGAAAAAUGCGUUUAAUUAAAAGAUCAAAAAUCUGCGAACUUAAUUUGCAUUUCAGUCAAAGCGGAACGAGCGGAAUGGAACAGUCAGCUUAGACCGUGUGGGAACCAUAUCGAUUGGGACGGAAAUCAGUCCAAGGUUUCGAAUUGGUUUCCAAUCGGAGCAGGAAAUCGAAUUUAUCUAAAUAAAGUGUUGAACAAACGACGCAUUCGAUGGCUUUGGUUGGAACUCAGAGCAUCGGAAUUUCAAAAUAAUGUGUUCUAUUUCACAGAUAUAUUUUGGGGUAAUCAGGGUGUUUUCAAGGAUCAA